Carassius auratus (goldfish) is the source of this 469-nucleotide long non-coding RNA. RefSeq lists it as uncharacterized. The record is from RefSeq and is a predicted model, not a curated record. NCBI's taxonomy places the organism in Eukaryota, Metazoa, Chordata, Actinopteri, Cypriniformes, Cyprinidae. The transcript has 3 exons.
GAUGAUUCACCACUCAUUUCAUGUCAGCUUUAACAUCACGAACAUCACGUUCACUUCCUUCAGGCAAGACUGAGACAAAAGCUGCAGUACCUAUAUCUUUGCUGUAUAGAAAAGAGCAAGUAAUACAGCUUUGGAAUUACAUAAGGUGAUUCCCUAGAAAAGACUUUUUUCCCCAACAUCCUCAUGUCUCUGGAAACUGGGUCAUUCGUCCAUGCAUCUACAACAUCACUCUCAUAGAAUCAGGAAAAUGAAAACCAUUUGCUGUAAAAACUUAGUUAUAGUCAAGAAAUCAGAGACAAAUUCUGAUUGGAUAAAUUAUUUUUUUAUGGUGAGACUUAAAAUACUGGAACAUAUGAAUUCACUAUAUUACGAUGACAUGGUGCAUGUCCUGAAUAAAAAUGUCAUUCGAUGCUUAAUAUGAUGCAUUCUAAAAAAAAUAAUAAAAAAAAAUAGUUAGUCACUAUUGUUU